RNAcentral lists this ribosomal RNA (1697 nucleotides) under Salmonella enterica subsp. enterica serovar Agona. RNAcentral describes it as "partial 23S ribosomal RNA". It matches the Rfam family "Bacterial large subunit ribosomal RNA", at positions 1253 to 2925 of the family's 2925-position model. Lineage: Bacteria; Pseudomonadati; Pseudomonadota; Gammaproteobacteria; Enterobacterales; Enterobacteriaceae. The record is from RNAcentral.
AAGGUGGCCUGUGAGGGUUGCUGGAGGUAUCAGAAGUGCGAAUGCUGACAUAAGUAACGAUAAAGCGGGUGAAAAGCCCGCUCGCCGGAAGACCAAGGGUUCCUGUCCAACGUUAAUCGGGGCAGGGUGAGUCGACCCCUAAGGCGAGGCCGAAAGGCGUAGUCGAUGGGAAACGGGUUAAUAUUCCCGUACUUGGUGUUACUGCGAAGGGGGGACGGAGAAGGCUAUGUUGGCCGGGCGACGGUUGUCCCGGUUUAAGCGUGUAGGUGUGUGUUCCAGGUAAAUCCGGUUCACUUUAACACUGAGGCGUGACGACGAGGCACUACGGUGCUGAAGCAACAAAUGCCCUGCUUCCAGGAAAAGCCUCUAAGCAUCAGGUAACAUCAAAUCGUACCCCAAACCGACACAGGUGGUCAGGUAGAGAAUACCAAGGCGCUUGAGAGAACUCGGGUGAAGGAACUAGGCAAAAUGGUGCCGUAACUUCGGGAGAAGGCACGCUGACACGUAGGUGAAGUGAUUUACUCAUGGAGCUGAAGUCAGUCGAAGAUACCAGCUGGCUGCAACUGUUUAUUAAAAACACAGCACUGUGCAAACACGAAAGUGGACGUAUACGGUGUGACGCCUGCCCGGUGCCGGAAGGUUAAUUGAUGGGGUCAGCGCAAGCGAAGCUCCUGAUCGAAGCCCCGGUAAACGGCGGCCGUAACUAUAACGGUCCUAAGGUAGCGAAAUUCCUUGUCGGGUAAGUUCCGACCUGCACGAAUGGCGUAAUGAUGGCCAGGCUGUCUCCACCCGAGACUCAGUGAAAUUGAACUCGCUGUGAAGAUGCAGUGUACCCGCGGCAAGACGGAAAGACCCCGUGAACCUUUACUAUAGCUUGACACUGAACAUUGAGCCUUGAUGUGUAGGAUAGGUGGGAGGCUUUGAAGUGUGGACGCCAGUCUGCAUGGAGCCGACCUUGAAAUACCACCCUUUAAUGUUUGAUGUUCUAACGUGGACCCGUAAUCCGGGUUGCGGACAGUGUCUGGUGGGUAGUUUGACUGGGGCGGUCUCCUCCUAAAGAGUAACGGAGGAGCACGAAGGUUGGCUAAUCCUGGUCGGACAUCAGGAGGUUAGUGCAAUGGCAUAAGCCAGCUUGACUGCGAGCGUGACGGCGCGAGCAGGUGCGAAAGCAGGUCAUAGUGAUCCGGUGGUUCUGAAUGGAAGGGCCAUCGCUCAACGGAUAAAAGGUACUCCGGGGAUAACAGGCUGAUACCGCCCAAGAGUUCAUAUCGACGGCGGUGUUUGGCACCUCGAUGUCGGCUCAUCACAUCCUGGGGCUGAAGUAGGUCCCAAGGGUAUGGCUGUUCGCCAUUUAAAGUGGUACGCGAGCUGGGUUUAGAACGUCGUGAGACAGUUCGGUCCCUAUCUGCCGUGGGCGCUGGAGAACUGAGGGGGGCUGCUCCUAGUACGAGAGGACCGGAGUGGACGCAUCACUGGUGUUCGGGUUGUCAUGCCAAUGGCACUGCCCGGUAGCUAAAUGCGGAAGAGAUAAGUGCUGAAAGCAUCUAAGCACGAAACUUGCCCCGAGAUGAGUUCUCCCUGAGACUUAGAGUCUCCUGAAGGAACGUUGAAGACGACGACGUUGAUAGGCCGGGUGUGUAAGCGCAGCGAUGCGUUGAGCUAACCGGUACUAAUGAACCGUGAGGCUUAACCUUACA